UCCUCCUGGAGUUCGCGGGCGCCUGCGGGCCCGGGGCUCCCUUGCCUCUAACAGACUUAGCUUACGGACCCUUGCUUGCUUCCAGAACCCCUAGCAGGUCUCUCUGCAGCCGAAAGUCCUUAGCGUCCAGCGCUUGUUCAAAAGAACUGCUCGAGGAACCCUUCUUAGCCGUGGCACCUGUGUCCGCUCCGCGCUGCGCUCAGACCAGACCAAGAAACUGAGGUUUAGACAAGUAACUUGUGACAUAAGGUCACGCACCUUCCGACUUAGAGUUUCUGACUCCAAAGCCUAUGCUACCAUCGACUGCAGACCCCAAGUGAAGCCCAGCAGAGAGGGUCCUGAGAACCACCAGAAGGUGAAAAAACUGAAAAGAACUUCCUGGACAGAGGAAUGGGCACAAGCAACGGGCAUAAGGUCACGGAAGAGCAGUGAGCAAGUGGCUAUCAGUGAGUCACAGAAGCAUCCGAAUCAAAGUUUUCACCUGAAGGGACACUCAUGUCUAAUCAACGUAGGUUUACAUUUAGACCCAUACGUACACGUAACAAGCUUUUACUGAUACUGCGCUUGAUGUACUCAACUGUCCGCUAAUGCAGAAGGAGAAACAAAGUGAGCCAAAGGCACAAGAAAGAAAGAAAUGAAAGUAUUGGGUGAUAUUUGUGCACACAAAGAAAACAGAGACGGGCAGCUCAGGUGGCUCAGCGGUUUAGUGCCUGCCUUCGGCCCAGGGCCUGAUCCUGGAGACCUGGGAUCGAGUCCCCUGUCGGGCUCCCUGCAUGGAGCCUGCUUCUCCCUCUGCCUGUGUCUCUACCUCUCUCUGUGUCUCUCAUGAAUAAAUAAGUAAUAUCUUAAAAAAAAAAAAGAAAGAGAGAUAACAGAGACUUAAACUUCUCCAAGCUUAAUGUUGCAAACACUGUUGAUACUCAAGAGUCAUCUCCCCUUUCUCCUUCCUAACAGGACCCCAGGUUUUUGUUUGGUUUGGGUUUUAAUCUACUCUUUUCUGCACAGCCAUGGGCUCCAGGAGGGGCAGGAGCUCCAGCCCAAGCCUCAAGAAGUAGCAUGUGAUUGGUCCAACUGGUCAUGCUGCUUGCCUUCUUCUUAUCAGUAUUGCGGUUCCCCGGGGGCACAGGGCACCGUUCUGGCCCAUACGGGAGUGGGCCCAUGUGGGGUAGAUCUGCCAGGGGGUGCUGGGAAAGAUUUUACUCCAGAAGAGAGGCAGCCCUCUCUCUUACUGGGCAUCAUUUCGUCUGCCUGCAAUGCCAACCAUCGCAGGCACCAUCUUACAGCCAAUAAAGAGCUAAGCUGGUGCACAGGAGGGAUGACACGGGGUUCCUGAGCUGCCUGCCUGCAGACUUCUUGAUACGUGAUGGAACACACUACUCAUUUUUUUUAAGCCAGUUGAGUCCUUGCUCUCUGCCACUUGCCACUGAGAACAUCGUGACUGCUGCACACAGCCUGCAGAUUUAGGAUGAGGAUCUUCCUUCUUAAACUUGGCAAAUAGAAGUCUCUUGAGGAAAUUUAAGGACAAAAAUUUAUCCCCUUUCCCCCUCUCUCUAUUUAUUUAUUAUUAUUAUUCUAGAAUAACUGUUAUUCUUCCUUCAAAAGUAUUCGAGACCCACUCAGAUGUCAUUCCUGGGUGGCUGAAUUGUUUGUUAUUCCCACAACCCUUCCACCACUCCUCUAUGACAGCAUCUUACUCCUUCUCUUUCAACAAAUAGUUACAGAGUACGUGUUAUAGGUUCAGUCAUCUUCUGGGCCCAGGGGGUAGAGCAGGGAACUAGAGGCAUGGAGAUCCCAGUCCAGCAGGAAGACAGAAGAUGACCAAAAACAUUUAAAUAUGAUGACUCUUGUCAAAGGGGAAAAAAGAAUUCUUAUGGCAGCAUUUAAAAGAGGAGGUGCACCUGGGGGCUUGGUGGGUUAAGCGGCCAACUCUUGAUUUCAGCUCAGGUCAUGUUCUCAGGGUCAUGAGAUCAAGCCCUGCCACAGGCUCUGUGCUUGGUGUGGACCCUGCUUGAGAGUCUCUCUCUCCCUCUGCCCCGCCUCCCCCCACCUCUCUCUCUCCAAUAAAUAAAUACCUCUUAAAAAAUAAAAAUAAAAGAGGAGGAAACAACUACUUUGAAGUUUAUUUUAUCGCAUUGGGAUUAUCUGUUCAUGUAUCAGUUUUUCCCACUAGAGUGUGUGUUCUUGCAACCUCACAUCCCUCACCCCUUCCCGAGAGAUGGUUAUAUUCCAGAGGUGGCUGCAAAAACAUCUCCCAUUCCACAUGUUCUGCAAUGCAAACUUGCCAUUCCCUACCGGGGAGGGAAACAGGAGGUCUUACGUCCUCUGCUUUGCAUCUCAGUGAGCUUGUGAUGAUUUUGACCAAUAGAUUAUGUUGGGAGCGAUGCUAUAGAUCUUCCAAGAUUGAUGUCAUAAAAGGCCACGCAGCUUCCACCUGCUUCCCUUGGAGCCCUUGUUUCUUGAAAUGUUCCUUCUCUGGGGCACACCCUCCUGGGACCUAUAGGUGGAUGCCCCAGGUGACAGUCCCAGCGGAGUGAGCAUUCGAGUCAUCCCAGGCCAGGAGUCUGACAUAUGAAUAAAGGAGCUUCCUGAUAAUUCCAGCCCCCAGCCUCAACUCCUCCCCAGCCUCAACUCCUCAACUGUUCAAGUUUUUCCAUUUGAGGCCCCGGGUGUCAUGAAGCAGACCCAGGCCAUCCCUGCUGUGCUUUC
This is a long non-coding RNA of Nyctereutes procyonoides (raccoon dog), 2706 nucleotides long. RefSeq lists it as uncharacterized. The transcript has 3 exons. Lineage: Eukaryota; Metazoa; Chordata; Mammalia; Carnivora; Canidae. The record is from RefSeq and is a predicted model, not a curated record.